CAAUAGCGUAUAUUAAAGUUGUUGCAGUUAAAAAGCUCGUAGUUGGAUAUCUGGGUUGAGCGCCGGGUCCGCCGCUGUGCGGUGUGUACUUGCGUGGCUCGACUCAUCCUUGCGGGGAAGCUGUUUGGCAUUAGUUUGUCGAGCAGGGGAUCCGCAUCGUUUACUGUGAAAAAUUAGAGUGUUUAAAGCAGGCCUUCGCUUGAAUACAUUAGCAUGGAAUAAUGGAAUAGGACUUCUGUUCUAUUUUGUUGGUUUCUAGGACUGAAGUAAUGAUUAAUAGGGAUAGUUGGGGGCAUUAGUAUUUAAUUGUCAGAGGUGAAAUUCUUGGAUUUAUGAAAGACUAACUUCUGCGAAAGCAUUUGCCAAGGAUGUUUUCAUUAAUCAAGAACGAAAGUUAGGGGAUCGAAGAUGAUCAGAUACCAU
This 423-nucleotide ribosomal RNA is filed under the name uncultured eukaryote. RNAcentral describes it as "bacterial SSU rRNA". It matches the Rfam family "Eukaryotic small subunit ribosomal RNA", at positions 592 to 1018 of the family's 1831-position model. The record is from RNAcentral.